CUAAAAACCAGAGGAAAUCCAGCAGGAAUUAGCCAAUAGUCCACACUAUAAAUAAAUUAAGAUCUGUAUUUUUUUUUUUUACAAAGUUCUGUUAAAAACAUGAUUUUGUUUCUGUUUUUAGGAAAUGACUAUACCGUGGUGCUUAAGGAGAGCAGAACUUGUGUUUAAGUGUGUCAAAGGUUUCAUGAUGGAAAUGGCCUCAUGGGAUGGAGGAAUUUCUAGAACAGUGCAAUUUCUGGUACCACAGGUGUGUUAUCUGCAUCACUGUCACCCCAGUUUAGUCCCUGUUGUUAAUUUUCCUCAUAGACCUGGCUAGCACACUGCCCUAAGCCCAGUGUAACAUAACAGUGUCGGCAACUUUCUAUUUUUCAAGGGGAUAAGUGUUUGGAUGCCAUAGAGGCCUUAGUUGGUUGUUAAAGAAGUCAGCAGCUACCACUGCAGGAUCUUUUAUUUAACCCUAAAGCUAAACUCAUCUUUCCUUUGUUUCCCCCACAUUUAUGUUAUCUAGAUUCUGAAGACGUCAUAAAGAAGAACAUGAGCAGAGAAUGAUUCUGUGUUCAAUGUGGCAUUUAGUAAAAUUAAUGAGACUUUCAUCACUGAUUACACUAGCAUUACCUAGAGGUUCUUCCAGUGAUCAGACUGAUUGAUUCAAACAGCAUAGGUUUUCAGAGGCUGGACCCAGGGAAACAGCCCCUGCCCAUAGCCAUGCAGUUAAAUCACUUCUGACAGAUAAUGUUCACCUAUCUAGAACUACUUGCAUUUCUUCCCUAGUUUAAAAUACUUUUAAAAAACUUUGGAAUCAGUGAUGAUUUAACAAAGGCAAACUUUUUUUUUUUAACCUCUUACAGAGCAUUUCUGAAGAAAUGUUUUAUCAACUUAGUAACAUGCUUCCCCAGAUCUUCCGCGUAUCGUCAACACUGACCCUGACCUCUAAGCACUAGACCCUCGUAGACCAACCCGCUGGCAGAAGAGGAUUGUUUAACACUCCAGGAAUCUGAGCCAUGCUGGGAUUCUGUCAAGCAAAAGAUGCCCAGAAGGAGGACCUGCAAUCCAAUCCGCAAAUCCAAUCAUGACAAAUGUCUGUUAAACAGUCCAAAAAUCCAUGCUAAUCAGCCCUUACUUUAUACAUUUAGUCUUAAAGCUUCUUUAUGGGGGAAAAAAGUCUUUUUUUCCUACGGUUGUGUCCUAUCUGUGAAUAUUAGUGAGUUAAAACUAGGUGUAUAUCACACAUGGACACUAGAUGUAGAUCUUUCACUACAUUUUCAUGGAGAUAUUUGACUUGCCCAAAAGGUUUGGAUCACAUCCGGGACAAGGCUUAAUUAACAUACAAAUAAAAUCUUCCCUCUACCUUAUUUGCCAAGCGAAAAUUAAAAGACAAUGAAAUAUACGUGGCAAGUAUGGAUUUCUUGUGAUAAUCUUUUCAUAGAAACACAAAUACAUGAGACAAACGUGAUUCUUCUUUUUAAAUUCCAUUUCAGAAACUCGUUUUUAAUGUACUCUUUCUAGGUUUUAGAAGUUAAGAAUCAGAAAAAGACUGGAUUCUUUGCCCCCGUCUCAUCUUCCCUUUGUGACCUUGCCCUUGCCUGUUAAUACUGUUUCGUGGGCUGGGAAACCAGUGUGCCUGUACGCAGGCCUGGUGGAAGUUGGUCUGAACCAGCACAUGGUGGUAUUUUCAUUCUCAUCCACAUGGUGACCAUCAGACAGUAAGUAUCCUUCCCAUUUCUCUGCCCUGCUUCCCACAUUCUGCUUCCUGCAUUACUUUGCUGAUAACUACGUCCCCAUUUCUGUCUCUGCCGUUUCUCCACUUUUUCCAUUGUCUUUCCUUAGAACGACUUCCUUAGAUACUUAUGCACAUCUCACUUAUCUAUCCCAUCUAGAACAUAGUUACUCUGAGUAGGGACUACAUCACAUAAAGGCAUUUAUAGAAGCAAUGAUUUCAUCAAAUCCAAGUUGCAUGGAAGUUGUGAUUGGCCAGCUGAGUGAAGUGGAGAACCUCUGACAUCAUCAUAAGAUGGUAGAUCUUUUAUAUCUUUCUAUCUAUACAUAAACUAUAUAUAUAUAUAUAGUUGGUUGUAAAUACAUGAAGUAUAGUCAAUUUACAAUGUUUCUGGUGUAUAGCAAAGUGUUUCAGACACACACACACACACACACGCUUUCCUUUUUGUACUCUCUUCCAUUAUGGUUUAUUGUAAGAUACUGAAGGAGUUCCCAUAGUGGCUCAGCAGAAAUGAAUCUGACUAGUAUCCAUGAGGAUGCAGGUAUGACGCCUGGCUUCACUUAACAGGUUAAGAAUCUGGCAUUGCUGUGGCUGAUGGCGUAGGCCGGCAGCUACAGCCCCAAUUCGACCCCUAGCCUAGAAACCUCCAUAUGCCGCAGGUACGGCCCUAAAGAGACCAAAGGGGAAAAAAAAAUUAUGUGCAUAUAUAUAUAUAAAAUAUGGUUCCCUGUGCUAUACAGUAGGACUUUGUGGUCUAUUUAUUUUAUAUGUAGUAAUUUAUAUCUGCUAACCCAAACUCCUAAUUUAUCCCUUCCCCACCCCUUUUCCCCUUUGGUAACCACUGUUUUGUUUUCUGUGUCUCUGAGUCUGUUUUCUGUUUUGUAAAUAAGUUCAAUUCAGAUAAGUAUAUGUUGAUUCGAAGAAAUAGAAAGCACUCUAUUCAUAUGCCUAAAAGUAAAAAUUUAUGGAAACUCUUUUGAUGCACAAAAUGCUUUCUCAUAACACAGAAUGUGUCUUUAUUUUCUACUCAAGGAAAGGACUGUCCAGUAAUGACCCUAAGGGAACACCUACCCCAGACCGUGUCUCUUACUAAUGCUUUGUAAAUCCUUCUCCAAGGAACCUGAUGAUCCCACCAAGAAGAAGGUAGGUGCCUGCUCUUGGAACAAGAAAUUGGCUUCCAGGCACGAAUGCUACCAUAGAGGCUGAUUCUAACACAAAGCAAGGUAGACAGAAAACUGGGGUGUGCUAGAACAGUGUCAGGAUGUUGGGAUUGGUAGUCUGACAGGUUGAGUUGGAGGUGGGUGUAGUGGGAUCAAUAAAAGGCAUUCAAUGUAUGCCUGUUCAAUCAACUAGGAGUUUGGGACUGGCAGAUACAAACUACUAUAUAAAAUAAAGACACACUGUCCUUUAUAUCACGGGAAACUGUAUUCAAUAUCUUGUAAUAGAAUAUAAUGGAAAAAAA
RNAcentral lists this long non-coding RNA (3179 nucleotides) under Sus scrofa (pig). RNAcentral's name for it is "lncRNA (ENSSSCG00060065994.1)". Lineage: Eukaryota; Metazoa; Chordata; Mammalia; Artiodactyla; Suidae. The record is from RNAcentral.